GGGUUCUGAGAGGAAGGUCCCCCACAUUGGAACUGAGACACGGUCCAAACUCCUACGGGAGGCAGCAGUGAGGAAUAUUGGUCAAUGGACGAGAGUCUGAACCAGCCAAGUAGCGUGCAGGAAGACGGCCCUAUGGGUUGUAAACUGCUUUUAUAAGGGAAUAAAGUGAGAGUCGUGACUCUUUUUGCAUGUACCUUAUGAAUAAGGACCGGCUAAUUCCGUGCCAGCAGCCGCGGUAAUACGGAAGGUCCGGGCGUUAUCCGGAUUUAUUGGGUUUAAAGGGAGCGUAGGCCGGAGAUUAAGCGUGUUGUGAAAUGUAGACGCUCAACGUCUGCACUGCAGCGCGAACUGGUUUCCUUGAGUACGCACAAAGUGGGCGGAAUUCGUGGUGUAGCGGUGAAAUGCUUAGAUAUCACGAAGAACUCCGAUUGCGAAGGCAGCUCACUGGAGCGCAACUGACGCUGAAGCUCGAAAGUGCGGGUAUCGAACAGGAUUAGAUACCCUGGUAGUCCGCACGGUAAACGAUGGAUGCCCGCUGUUGGUCUGAAUAGGUCAGCGGCCAAGCGAAAGCAUUAAGCAUCCCACCUGGGGAGUACGCCGGCAACGGUGAAACUCAAAGGAAUUGACGGGGGCCCGCACAAGCGGAGGAACAUGUGGUUUAAUUCGAUGAUACGCGAGGAACCUUACCCGGGCUUGAAUUGCAGAGGAAGGAUUUGGAGACAAUGACGCCCUUCGGGGCCUCUGUGAAGGUGCUGCAUGGUUGUCGUCAGCUCGUGCCGUGAGGUGUCGGCUUAAGUGCCAUAACGAGCGCAACCCCUCUCUUUAGUUGCCAUCAGGUUAAGCUGGGCACUCUGGGGACACUGCCACCGUAAGGUGUGAGGAAGGUGGGGAUGACGUCAAAUCAGCACGGCCCUUACGUCCGGGGCUACACACGUGUUACAAUGGCAGGUACAGAGAGACGGUUGUACGUAAGUACGAUCAAAUCCUUAAAGCCUGUCUCAGUUCGGACUGGGGUCUGCAACCCGACCCCACGAAGCUGGAUUCGCUAGUAAUCGCGCAUCAGCCAUGGCGCGGUGAAUACGUUCCCGGGCCUUGUACACACCGCCCGUCAAGCCAUGAAAGCCGGGGGCGCCUAAAGUCCGUGACCGUAAGGAGCGGCCUAGGGCGAAACUGGUAAUUGGGGCUAAGUCGUAACAAGGUA
Molecule: ribosomal RNA, 1201 nt
Filed under: metagenome
Description: bacterial SSU rRNA
Rfam family: Bacterial small subunit ribosomal RNA
Source: RNAcentral